CGUACGAAAAUGGAGCGUUGGGCAAGCCACAAAGAGAGAGAUGAUGUUGUCACUGUCACGGCAUCGUCCACUUCUUCAAAACUUCAAGAGAAGGAAAAAGGCACUAACGGCCGAGUUCUCGAACCUGUCCAUGACAAGAAUCGGGAUUUAACUGAAGAGAAAAGUAGCCAUGACCUUGCAGAGACCAAAGAUAGAAGCGAGAAGGGACCUCCAGGAGAUCGGCACUUGGACACGGUUGAGAAACUCAAGAAACGUAGUGAACGGUUCAAACUUCCAAUGCCCACGGAGAAAGAUACCACAGUCGUAAAGAAAAUGGAGUCUGAGACGCUGCCCUCUGCAAAAAUUGAAGGCCCUGUGGAUUCAGAGGUGAAAGCAGAGCGGCCAGCAAGGAAAAGACGGUGGACAAGUAGCUGAGAGCCUGGCUCUCUUUGGCUGGAUCGAGGGGUAGCUUCUUAUACUUAAACGGAUGGCAUGAGAUUCUCGCAUCCCACGGAGCAGUUGUUGCCGUGGAGGAUCAAGUUCCAUGAAGAUUAAUUAGAAGAGCUUAGGAAGAGUGUGUGGGAGUGAGCUAUGUUGUGUAAGAAUAAUACGCAUAAGGAUUUUACUUUGAGAGAAUACUCUUUUGUAGUAGUUGAUGUAAACUUUUGUCAAAGAUUAUUUGGUCUUUUAGUUUUGUUCACAUACUAAGCGCCUCAAGAGAGAGCGAGGAUAUUUAUAAAGUACUCGAGGCAUUGUAUUUUACUGUAGUAAUUUUGUUACUGUUUUUUGUAAACAACCUUUUGAACACUUGACAUUUGUAUUUUCCUUUUUCCAGGUUUAUUAUGAGGAGACAGCAACAACUAUGAAAGUAGAGACUGCUUGAUGGAGAAAGGCUCGUAAAUAGAAUACGAGCUUAUUAUCACGUUUCAAAAUCUCUUACGAAAUCAAAACUUUCCUAUUACAAACAAACAAAGUUUCUUUAGAGCUUUGAUCUAUAGUAAUAAAUCACUGUUUUGCGGCAUAUAUUGUUUAAAAUGAAUAAAACGUAAAUAGCUCAAGUUUCGAAAAUGCUGAGGGCGGGCAUGUUACAACGUAUGAAGUUAUAUGGUGUGAUUAAAUUUUUAUUCAGUGGCAAAGAGGAAUCCCAUAGCCAGUAUUGCCAGCAAGGAAAGGCACAGAUUAGCAGUGGUGGCAAUAGAGCCAGAAUGACCAGGGGCAUUUGGCGUAGCUCCAGUUGCAUUGUUGGCGGCCAUGUUUGCAACAGGAGGCAGAGGAGGAUCAAUCACGUCUUUGGCGUCAAGAGGUGGGCUUGGGGCACUAGCUGGUGGCUGUGCUUCCUUGUUUGCCACGGAGAUUAGAGAGCCAGCCUCUGCAGGUAAGAUGGCAUAGGGCUGCUCUUUGUCUAAAUCUGAGCAUGGACUCCCUGCAUUUGCAUCAAAUGUUAAGCAUCAGCUUUUGUGUUGUUAAAUGAUCAACAUUAUCUUUGUUAUGUGUAUAUAUUGGUUCUUUCAUGAAUCUUGUAGAGGUUUAGAAUUUACUUAAGUAUCUGGUGGCGGUGGCAGGGAACUCCGUGAUGACUCCAUCAACACCAUUCCCUGCAAUGAAUGUGGCAAACUCUACAGUAGGAUCAGAGAAGUAGUCGAACGCUAUGGAGAUAUACUCGUUCCUUAGCACCGAGACAUAAACAGAGAUAUUCCCCUUGUGCAUUUCCUCCACUACGUUGGUCUUCCCUGCGGCAAAGCUUCCGGAGAUGGUGACGAGAGAACUUCUCAAGAUAUUGACAGCAUCUGCAUGCUUCUUGAUUUCGUCAACGGAUGCCUUGGGAGCAUCUCCUAUUUCCUUGUCGAUGCUCAAGACUCUAGUGUAGGGAGGGACAGCCUCAAAACCGGCCAGAACUGAACUGUCAUCUGACUGAAUCAAUACCCUUUGGGUUGUUUGCUUGUCGAGUGUGGAUUUGGUCAGAGCGGACUUGACUGCGUCUACGAUUCCUAAGCCUUUCUUUGAGGCUAAAUAAGCAGCAUUCUGUCAAAACAAAAAAAACAAGGCGUUAGUGGUGAUGCUUUGAGUAAGUUAAAGGAGCAUUAAUGAAAAAAGGGGCAUAUGCCUGGAUGUUGACAAGAACUCCAGUGACUGCCUUUUCUUUGCUGAACUUAAGGAAGUCAUCAAGAGUUACGAACUUCCCGGCAUUCUUGUUUGCUGGGUUUCUCGAGAUUCCCACCUUAGCUAUGAAAGGGCUCUGGAUUUGAGCUGUAGGCAGAGACAUCCCACUGUCAAAAUAAGCAUUCUACUCGACCAGCUAGCAGUAAGAAACAUCACGAUAACAGUGCACCGUAUCAGAGCAGAAAGAAUCAAGACAGAGGGAAAGAAAUGGAAAGAACUCGAGCGGCGAGCAAAGGUGGUAGGGAGUACUCAAAUCCUCAUACGGACGUUGAUUACUCAAUUGCAAGGGGCGACGAUUAUGAUAGAAGGAAAGAGCGAGAUGUUGAUGGGGGGUUCUGGCGCAGGAAAGAGGAUGACCCAUUCAGUAGAAGAGGUGGGGAUGAAGGGUUUAGAAAAAGGGAUCGUGAAGAGGAUCUGGGCUCUAAGCAGAGGGGUAAAAUGAGAGAGAGUGACAUACGCAACAAAGAUGAUCAUCAUGUUCCAUCGAGAAAGCAUUUGGACGAUGGUGGUUUAAGAAAUAGUUAUGAACUGGAUGAUCACAUCGGGAAGAGGAGGAAGGAUGAAGAAUACUUAAGAAGAAACCGCUCUGAAAAGAACGAAAUCUCAUAUGGUCAAAGAGAAUCAUCAACCAGCCGCCUGAAACGAGAACGGGGUGAUAGGUUGGACCAUCAAAAGAGAGAUGUCCAACAUAAAAGCAGAGAUGAUUUUGAUGACCACAGUUCUCUCAGGCACAGAGACGAUUUCUAUAUGCAGAGAGAUGGAAAUGACAGGUUGAGAGAGCGCGAGGGUAUGGAUAAAUUGAAAUUAACUCAGGAGGAUGGCUUAUCAGCACGAGGAAGAGAGAGGCAGGUACCUACUACAAGGGGUCAUAGAGGCUCAGAAGACCGAUCAUCAUCGAUGAUGAAGGAUGAUUAUAAAACUUCUGAGAAAGAGCAUCUCACAAAAGAUUCAACAAGGCAUAGUAAACAGACGAAGAGAAGGGAAUAUCAUGGUGAAGAAAGUUCUCAUCAUAGAGGACACAGAGACUUCUCUGCACGCACAGAUGAGACUGCUAACAAUGAGAAAAUGCCAAGGCAGGAGAGAACAAGUGCUAAAAGUGACAAUGUUAUUAAUUCUUUGGACGGCCAGCAGUUGCAAGACAGAAAACAUAAAGAUUCCAGACGAAAGAUUAAAGAACAACGAGAGGGUGCCGAUUCAGUGAGGAGCAAGCAAGGAGAAGAAAAUGGCAGUUCAGAAGUAACGGUAUGCUCUAUCAGCCUAUCAACUUAUUACUCUCAUCCAAGUUUUGUAAACUUAACGUAACAUGGUUAUCGUGAAUGCAUUAGACUUUACAAAGUAUUUUGUUCCUGUGAUUAACCUCACCUAAUAAUAUAUCUCAUGGGUUUGGUCACUUUUAAUAUGCCUCAACGGGUCAGUAUUGAUGCUUCUUUCAUGCCUUCCAGGGCUCAAAAGGUAAAAACGAAGCAAGAAAUCACAGGAGUGAGAUCCCACAGCAGACUAACGCCACCAAAAGACACAAGGAGGAUGCUUCAUCUGGUGAUGAGCUGCAAGAUUCAAAGAGAGGACGUACGAAAAUGGAGCGUUGGGCAAGCCACAAAGAGAGAGAUGAUGUUGUCACUGUCACGGCAUCGUCCACUUCUUCAAAACUUCAAGAGAAGGAAAAAGGCACUAACGGCCGAGUUCUCGAACCUGUCCAUGACAAGAAUCGGGAUUUAACUGAAGAGAAAAGUAGCCAUGACCUUGCAGAGACCAAAGAUAGAAGCGAGAAGGGACCUCCAGGAGAUCGGCACUUGGACACGGUUGAGAAACUCAAGAAACGUAGUGAACGGUUCAAACUUCCAAUGCCCACGGAGAAAGAUACCACAGUCGUAAAGAAAAUGGAGUCUGAGACGCUGCCCUCUGCAA
Molecule: long non-coding RNA, 4044 nt
Filed under: Brassica napus (rape)
Lineage: Eukaryota; Viridiplantae; Streptophyta; Magnoliopsida; Brassicales; Brassicaceae
Description: long non-coding RNA (BNAP_LNC023518)
Source: RNAcentral